UUGAUUUAUCCAAGGUUCUGCCAUUUAGCUUGGAUAAGUGAGACUCUACUGUAUAUUGUAUUACAUAAUUAUAUCAUUAUCAAUACAAGACAAAUGAGGAAGCCCUAUAAGCCAGGGAGGUUGCUCUACAACUCAAGCUUCAAAUCGAAUGCAGAAGACAUCUGAGAAAAGAUGCAAAAGUGGCCUGUUCACACACAAGGGCUACACGUGGCUAAGUGUGCCGAAGAGGGUGUUUGCAUGUUCGGGAGAACUCACACUGGCACGUAGGUAUCAGUUCUGCCUGGUACUCCCUUUUCCUGCCUCCACUGUAAGUGUUAACUUCCCACCUACGAGCAGCAGCUGUGCCCGCCCACCCUUGGCAUGAAGCCUAGAUCCUGCGCAUACAGCACCUCCGGAGUAAGGGCCCUGGCUGACUUUCUCGGGGAAAAGCCUGCAAGAGGAGCAGCGGCAUUGGAUGGCAAUGUGACUGAUGCCUGGGGAAUCAUAAGCCCAGAAGACAAUUUAUCCCCAUCUCUUGUCCUCCAACCUCAAAUUUCUUAAUCCUUUCAAAACAGUGAAUCUAGUCAUGAAAACCUUUGACAACGCAUUGAACAUCUCUACGGGUAGAAACUGUUCCAAGACAUUGAAAUCCACAAGCAUGUGGACAACUUCAACAGAAAGGAAGAAACCAUGAAAAUGAACAAAAUCUGGCUACCAGUAUUACAAAACUCUAAAAUCAAAACAGUAGAUGGGAACACUAGAUGGGAACCAACACUCUGAGGGCAGAGGACUGAACAAAGGAUGCCCCCAGGCAAGAGACAAAAACCUUUCCAAUGCUAAUUAGGGUGAUUAACUGAAACAUUAAUGCUGGCUUCCCAGUGACAAAGGACUCUUGCCAUACCCUGGACUCUACACAGAUAUAUAUUCUUUCCUUUCCUUGCUUAGUUUAUCCAUACCUCACAACCUCUGAGGAUGCCUGCCAUAGAUGUGGGCGAAACGUCAGGAGAGAAUACUUCUGGAACAUGGCCACACAGCACGAAAGACAUACAACAACCCUGUGAUCCCGGCCAUGAAAGCCUUCGACAACACAUGUUCCAAGACACAUGAAUUGGAAAAACUAAGGACCAGGAAAGCACAUCUACUAUGCUCUCCGACUUUCCUUUGACGUUGCAGAGACACAGAUACUAUCCUACAAUUUCUCACAGCCAAAAGGACUUUCAAAACACCAUAGGCCCACCAUAUUUACGACCGCCUGGAACGCAACAGCAAGGAUGGGGCCUGCCAUGUGCCAUCACAUGACGCAUGGCAGGUGCUCACCUUCCCUUUCACCGGCAAUUGCCGGCCUGAAAGGACUGUGUGAAGUGGUAAAAAGUCACCUUAUGCCUGAGGUCUAUUUAACUGGAGAGAAAAGAGACAGAAGCCUUUUUUAUAUAAAAAUGAACAUGCCUUGCAAAACAUAUGGAGCGUAGGAUGUUGCCACUUACUGACAUCACUAGAGGACUUGAGAUGUUGCAAGUGGAACUGCCAGGGAUUUAACCUGGGACCUUUAAUAUACAGAAACUCUGUUGUGCCACUGAGUUGUGUCAUUCCAGGCUACCACUGUGGCUAUAAAUAUAAAUUCUAUAUCAUGUUUGCUGCUUCUUUUCCACAUUGGAUGCAUUUUAAUUUCAAUUGUUGUUUUGACCAUGUUGACUUUGGGUUGGCCUGUGUUUUAUGAGGCUUUUUCAACAUCAUUUUUCUAUAGCAAUUACAGUAGACUCUCAGUUAACCGGCAUCCAUGGGGGUUGUGAGAUGCUGGAUAAAUGUAGUUUCUGGUUGCUUGAGAGUUACUAUUAAAAUUGGCCUAACUAUGCAUAAUAAGCAAUAAAAAUAAAAUUAUGUUGUUUUAUGUGA
This is a long non-coding RNA of Anolis carolinensis (green anole), 1872 nucleotides long. RefSeq lists it as uncharacterized. NCBI's taxonomy places the organism in Eukaryota, Metazoa, Chordata, Lepidosauria, Squamata, Anolidae. The record is from RefSeq and is a predicted model, not a curated record. The transcript has 2 exons.